UACGGAGGGGGCUAGCGUUGUUCGGAAUUACUGGGCGUAAAGCGCGCGUAGGCGGACCUGCAAGUCGGGGGUGAAAGCCCGGGGCUCAACCUCGGAACUGCCUUAGAUACUGCGGGUCUCGAGUCCGGGAGAGGUGAGUGGAAUUCCUAGUGUAGAGGUGAAAUUCGUAUAUAUUAGGAAGAACACCAGUGGCGAAGGCGGCUCACUGGCCCGGUACUGACGCUGAGGCACGAAAGCGUGGGGAGCAAACAUA
Molecule: ribosomal RNA, 253 nt
Filed under: uncultured bacterium
Lineage: Bacteria
Description: partial 16S ribosomal RNA
Rfam family: Bacterial small subunit ribosomal RNA
Source: RNAcentral